RNAcentral lists this transfer RNA (76 nucleotides) under Pseudogobius fulvicaudus. RNAcentral describes it as "tRNA-Pro". It matches the Rfam family "tRNA". Rfam says of the family: Transfer RNA (tRNA) molecules are approximately 80 nucleotides in length. Their secondary structure includes four short double-helical elements and three loops (D, anti-codon, and T loops). The record is from RNAcentral. Lineage: Eukaryota; Metazoa; Chordata; Actinopteri; Gobiiformes; Gobiidae.
CAAAGAAUAGUUAAAUUUAUAAUGCUAGCUUUGGGAGCUAGUGUUGGGAGUUAAAAUCUCCCUUCUUUGAGCACUG